GGGGAAUAUUGGACAAUGGGCGAAAGCCUGAUCCAGCCAUGCCGCGUGUGUGAAGAAGGUCUUCGGAUUGUAAAGCACUUUAAGUUGGGAGGAAGGGCAUUAACCUAAUACGUUAGUGUUUUGACGUUACCGACAGAAUAAGCACCGGCUAACUUCGUGCCAGCAGCCGCGGUAAUACGAAGGGUGCAAGCGUUAAUCGGAAUUACUGGGCGUAAAGCGCGCGUAGGUGGUUUGUUAAGUUGAAUGUGAAAGCCCCGGGCUCAACCUGGGAACUGCAUCCAAAACUGGCAAGCUAGAGUAUGGCAGAGGGUGGUGGAAUUUCCUGUGUAGCGGUGAAAUGCGUAGAUAUAGGAAGGAACACCAGUGGCGAAGGCGACCACCUGGGCUAAUACUGACACUGAGGUGCGAAAGCGUGGGGAGCAAAC
RNAcentral lists this ribosomal RNA (425 nucleotides) under uncultured bacterium. RNAcentral describes it as "bacterial SSU rRNA". It matches the Rfam family "Bacterial small subunit ribosomal RNA", at positions 356 to 773 of the family's 1533-position model. The record is from RNAcentral.